AUACGGAGGAUGCGAGCGUUAUCCGGAUUUAUUGGGUUUAAAGGGAGCGCAGGCGGAGAUGCAAGCGUGACGUCAAAUUUCGGGGCUCAACCCCGUCUCGCGUCGCGAACUGCGUCCCUUGGUUGCGGGAAGGGGAGGCGGAACUCGUGGUGUAGCGGUGAAAUGCAUAGAUAUCACGAAGAACUCCGAUCGCGAAGGCAGCCUUCCGGCCCGUCAACGACGCUCAUGCUCGAAGGUGCGGGUAUCAGACAGGAUUAGAUACCCUGGUAGUCCGCACAGUAAACGAUGGACACCCGCGGUUUGGCCUGUAUGGCUGAGCCGCCAAGCGAAAGCGUUAAGUGUCCCACCUGGGGAGUACGCCGGCAACGGUGAAACUCAAAUGAAUUGACGGG
This 392-nucleotide ribosomal RNA is filed under the name uncultured bacterium. Its description in RNAcentral is "partial 16S ribosomal RNA". It matches the Rfam family "Bacterial small subunit ribosomal RNA", at positions 523 to 917 of the family's 1533-position model. The record is from RNAcentral.